Molecule: long non-coding RNA, 1128 nt
Filed under: Equus asinus (donkey)
Lineage: Eukaryota; Metazoa; Chordata; Mammalia; Perissodactyla; Equidae
Description: lncRNA (ENSEASG00005032126.1)
Source: RNAcentral
CCCCGGGUGCACGCUACACGGGGAAGCCAGGCAGUAUUGGGGGUCAACCCCCCGGCCCUGACAAAGCAGCAGCAGCACCCGCAGCCCUUCCUGGGUUCUGAGGGAGCCACACUCGGAGGCCAAGGGGCUCCUCGGCGUGAGGAUGGGGUGUGGAGGCCACAAGGUCAAGGGUAUGAGGCGCUCCUCGUCCUGGGCCAUCACCCCUGUAGGUGGCGCCGCAUGAGGGAGCCGAGGCCACCUGAGCUCUUGCCACAUGCCUGCAGAGCUGGGGGAGGACUAGGUGCCCGCUGGGUGAGUGGGCAGCUGGGUCUGUUUCUGCCCCUGUUCUUGAACCCUGGGCCCCUGCCUCCUGGGGAAUCUCACAGCAUGUGACUAGGGGACCCUGGGACAUUCCCUGUCAGGCCCUGUCCUGCCAGCUCUGCCUGAGCCAACUCUCUUGGGCUUCCCUCAGCCCUCAGCCUCCAGGGGUCCUGGCUGGUGGGCUCAGGCACCUUUUGUGAUCCUGGGGCUGCCGCAGGCGACUGACACCAGACACAGUUCUGCCCCUGAGACCAGUCCCAGGAGAGGGAGGUGGGGUGAUCUGCACCCCCAGGUCUUGGGGCCCCACAUUCCUCCCAGGCAGGGUGGUGGGCAGGGGCUAGAUGUCAGGGUGAUGCUGACUCCACAGCCCCCUCCACCUUCUGUUCUCCUGGCCAGCCCUCAACACCCAGCCCGAGGAGCCAGGGAAAUGAGGCAUGUGCAGGGGGCAGAGAGUUGCCCCUGUCUUAAAGGGUCCUGGAAUUUAGGGGCAAUCAAUGCCCAGCUCAUCCUAGCCUGUCAUUUCUGACCUCUUGCCCAUUGGGGACAAGGGGACACAGCCGUGGCCUUCGCCACCAGGCCCUGGGAGGGAGGGCUUUGGCAGCUGAGGUCUACUUAUCCCGCCAUGCCCCCGUAGGAAACUGCCCCCUGAGGAGCGGGGCAGCACCACUGAUAUAUGCAAACCCACUGGUCCGAGCCCUGCCCCGCCUGUGUCCCUCUGUCCCCAGGCUGGCUCUGCCCACCCCGCAUGUACACUCUCCUAUGGAUGUCCCGUGGGCCAUGUGCAUGGGAGCCCGCGGCAGGUGGGGGCGGGCGGCUCAGGGUGCACUC